GGUGCUGUAGAUUAGUGUUAGUCUGCACUAACACUGUCUUGUAAACAGGAGAUCUUGGGUUCAAAUCCUAGCAGUGCCU
Molecule: transfer RNA, 79 nt
Filed under: Perca fluviatilis (European perch)
Lineage: Eukaryota; Metazoa; Chordata; Actinopteri; Perciformes; Percidae
Rfam family: tRNA
About the family: Transfer RNA (tRNA) molecules are approximately 80 nucleotides in length.
Source: Rfam by way of RNAcentral